This 532-nucleotide ribosomal RNA is filed under the name Lacticaseibacillus paracasei. RNAcentral's name for it is "bacterial SSU rRNA". It matches the Rfam family "Bacterial small subunit ribosomal RNA", at positions 308 to 832 of the family's 1533-position model. Lineage: Bacteria; Bacillati; Bacillota; Bacilli; Lactobacillales; Lactobacillaceae. The record is from RNAcentral.
AUACAUUAGUACCGAGACACGGCCCGACCUCCUACGGGAUGCAGCAGUAGGGAAUCUUCCACAAUGGACGCAAGUCUGAUGGAGCAACGCCGCGUGAGUGAAGAAGGCUUUCGGGUCGUAAAACUCUGUUGUUGGAGAAGAAUGGUCGGCAGAGUAACUGUUGUCGGCGUGACGGUAUCCAACCAGAAAGCCACGGCUAACUACGUGCCAGCAGCCGCGGUAAUACGUAGGUGGCAAGCGUUAUCCGGAUUUAUUGGGCGUAAAGCGAGCGCAGGCGGUUUUUUAAGUCUGAUGUGAAAGCCCUCGGCUUAACCGAGGAAGCGCAUCGGAAACUGGGAAACUUGAGUGCAGAAGAGGACAGUGGAACUCCAUGUGUAGCGGUGAAAUGCGUAGAUAUAUGGAAGAACACCAGUGGCGAAGGCGGCUGUCUGGUCUGUAACUGACGCUGAGGCUCGAAAGCAUGGGUAGCGAACAGGAUUAGAUACCCCUGUAGUCCUUGCCGUACACGAUGGAUGCCAGCAGUGGAAGAGUA